GUGCUCACUUCAGCAGUGCCUAUACUAAAAAUUGGAAUGAUACACAGAAGAUUAGCAUGGCCCCUGUGCAAGAAUGACACCCAAAUUCAUGAAGCAUUCCAUAUUAAA
This is a small nuclear RNA of Manis pentadactyla (Chinese pangolin), 108 nucleotides long. NCBI's taxonomy places the organism in Eukaryota, Metazoa, Chordata, Mammalia, Pholidota, Manidae. The record is from RefSeq and is a predicted model, not a curated record.